UUUAUCUCUCUCAGCGCCGCAGUCGAACUUUCUCAAAUUUACAAUUGCAGAAGAAAAUGCAAUCCAGCCAAGAGUGGUGACCAUCUCCUUUGGAUUAUCUCUCCCGUUGAAGCUCGGUCUCAAGAAUUUACCAGCUACACACAAGGCCAUGUCUCAUUUUCGUCGAACAAUGCCCAAUGGAAGUUUGAGCCAGGGCAAUCCGAGACCUGUAGGUGCAGUCCAGUAUCGGAGGCCUCGCUUACGGAGGGUAGACAGAUCACGCCGGAGCUGGUCGGAUAGGGAAGAGCUUGCGCUUAUAGCAGCGAUGAAGGAGUUAGUUGCGACUGGUUGGAAAGCAGACA
Non-coding RNA from Salvia hispanica, 341 nucleotides. The record is from RefSeq and is a predicted model, not a curated record. NCBI's taxonomy places the organism in Eukaryota, Viridiplantae, Streptophyta, Magnoliopsida, Lamiales, Lamiaceae.